RNAcentral lists this long non-coding RNA (201 nucleotides) under Carica papaya (papaya). RNAcentral's name for it is "long non-coding RNA (CPAP_LNC013720)". The record is from RNAcentral. Lineage: Eukaryota; Viridiplantae; Streptophyta; Magnoliopsida; Brassicales; Caricaceae.
GUUAUCUUUUGUAUUUAAUUCUCUUGAUGUCUAUUUGGGAAAUGGUGGUAUUGGUGAGAAAAGAUAGGGAAACAAACUGGAAAAGGAUUAAAAACAAAAUAAAUGUAAAAUUUUGGGAGGCAAAUCUAGGUGAGUAGAGAUAGUAUUUUUUGUGAGGGUGAAAGUGAUGUUGUUUGGAAGUAGGAAUGGGAUUAACAAUAG